RNAcentral lists this ribosomal RNA (427 nucleotides) under uncultured Cellvibrio sp. RNAcentral describes it as "bacterial SSU rRNA". It matches the Rfam family "Bacterial small subunit ribosomal RNA", at positions 353 to 772 of the family's 1533-position model. The record is from RNAcentral. Lineage: Bacteria; Pseudomonadati; Pseudomonadota; Gammaproteobacteria; Cellvibrionales; Cellvibrionaceae.
AGUGGGGAAUAUUGGACAAUGGGGGCAACCCUGAUCCAGCCAUGCCGCGUGUGUGAAGAAGGCCUUAGGGUUGUAAAGCACUUUCAGUGGGGAGAAAAGUCAUUCACCUAAUACGUGAGUGAAUUGAUGUUACCCACAGAAGAAGCACCGGCUAACUCCGUGCCAGCAGCCGCGGUAAUACGGAGGGUGCAAGCGUUAAUCGGAAUUACUGGGCGUAAAGCGCACGUAGGUGGUUUGUUAAGCCAGCUGUGAAAUCCCCGGGCUCAACCUGGGCACUGCAGUUGGAACUGGCAAGCUAGAGUAGGGUAGAGGGGUGUGGAAUUCCAGGUGUAGCGGUGAAAUGCGUAGAUAUCUGGAGGAACAUCAGUGGCGAAGGCGACACCCUGGACUCAUACUGACACUGAGGUGCGAAAGCGUGGGGAGCAAA